RNAcentral lists this ribosomal RNA (492 nucleotides) under uncultured bacterium. RNAcentral's name for it is "partial 16S ribosomal RNA". It matches the Rfam family "Bacterial small subunit ribosomal RNA", at positions 29 to 507 of the family's 1533-position model. The record is from RNAcentral.
AGUGAACGCUGGCGGUAGGCCUAACACAUGCAAGUCGAACGGCAGCACAGUAAGAGCUUGCUCUUACGGGUGGCGAGUGGCGGACGGGUGAGGAAUACAUCGGAAUCUACUUUUUCUUGGGGGACAACGUAGGGAAACUUACGCUAAUACCGCAUACGACCUACGGGUGAAAGCAGGGGAUCUUCGGACCUUGCGCGAUUGAAUGAGCCGAUGUCGGAUUAGCUAGUUGGCGGGGUAAAGGCCCACCAAGGCGACGAUCCGUAGCUGGUCUGAGAGGAUGAUCAGCCACACUGGAACUGAGACACGGUCCAGACUCCUACGGGAGGCAGCAGUGGGGAAUAUUGGACAAUGGGCGCAAGCCUGAUCCAGCCAUACCGCGUGGGUGAAGAAGGCCUUCGGGUUGUAAAGCCCUUUUGUUGGGAAAGAAAAGCAGCAGGUUAAUACCCCGCUGUUCUGACGGUACCCAAAGAAUAAGCACCGGCUAACUUCGUG